GAUGAACGCUAGCGGCAGGCCUAAUACAUGCAAGUCGGACGGGAUUCAGGAGCUUGCUUCUGAUGAGAGUGGCGCACGGGUGCGUAACACGUAUGUAACCUACCUUUAUCAGGGGGAUAGCCUCUCGAAAGAGAGAUUAAGCCCGCAUAAAAUCACAGCACAGCAUUGUGUAAUGAUCAAAUAUUUAUAGGAUAAAGAUGGGCAUGCGGGACAUUAGCUAGAUGGCGGGGUAACGGCCCACCAUGGCGACGAUGUUUAGGGGAUCUGAGAGGAUGGCCCCCCACACUGGUACUGAGACACGGACCAGACUCCUACGGGAGGCAGCAGUAAGGAAUAUUGGUCAAUGGGCGGAAGCCUGAACCAGCCAUGCCGCGUGCAGGAAGACGGCCCUACGGGUUGUAAACUGCUUUUAGACGGGAAUAAACCCAGAUACGUGUAUCUGGCUGAAUGUACUGUAAGAAUAAGGAUCGGCUAACUCCGUG
This 482-nucleotide ribosomal RNA is filed under the name uncultured bacterium. RNAcentral describes it as "partial 16S ribosomal RNA". It matches the Rfam family "Bacterial small subunit ribosomal RNA", at positions 28 to 507 of the family's 1533-position model. The record is from RNAcentral.